Marasmius sp. AFHP31 is the source of this 104-nucleotide non-coding RNA. The record is from the annotation of a GenBank genome assembly. NCBI's taxonomy places the organism in Eukaryota, Fungi, Basidiomycota, Agaricomycetes, Agaricales, Marasmiaceae.
GCCCGCCUAGCUCAAUCGGAUAGAGCGUCAGACUCUUAUCCGGUGGUCACCAGAUGAUAUAUUGCACAAUCUGAAGGCUGCGAGUUCGACCCUCGCGGUGGGCU